CGGUUCACUUUAACACUGAGGCGUGACGACGAGGCACUACGGUGCUGAAGCAACAAAUGCCCUGCUUCCAGGAAAAGCCUCUAAGCAUCAGGUAACAUCAAAUCGUACCCCAAACCGACACAGGUGGUCAGGUAGAGAAUACCAAGGCGCUUGAGAGAACUCGGGUGAAGGAACUAGGCAAAAUGGUGCCGUAACUUCGGGAGAAGGCACGCUGACACGUAGGUGAAGUGAUUUACUCAUGGAGCUGAAGUCAGUCGAAGAUACCAGCUGGCUGCAACUGUUUAUUAAAAACACAGCACUGUGCAAACACGAAAGUGGACGUAUACGGUGUGACGCCUGCCCGGUGCCGGAAGGUUAAUUGAUGGGGUCAGCGCAAGCGAAGCUCCUGAUCGAAGCCCCGGUAAACGGCGGCCGUAACUAUAACGGUCCUAAGGUAGCGAAAUUCCUUGUCGGGUAAGUUCCGACCUGCACGAAUGGCGUAAUGAUGGCCAGGCUGUCUCCACCCGAGACUCAGUGAAAUUGAACUCGCUGUGAAGAUGCAGUGUACCCGCGGCAAGACGGAAAGACCCCGUGAACCUUUACUAUAGCUUGACACUGAACAUUGAGCCUUGAUGUGUAGGAUAGGUGGGAGGCUUUGAAGCGUGGACGCCAGUCUGCGUGGAGCCGACCUUGAAAUACCACCCUUUAAUGUUUGAUGUUCUAACGUGGACCCGUUACCCGGGUUGCGGACAGUGUCUGGUGGGUAGUUUGACUGGGGCGGUCUCCUCCUAAAGAGUAACGGAGGAGCACGAAGGUUGGCUAAUCCUGGUCGGACAUCAGGAGGUUAGUGCAAUGGCAUAAGCCAGCUUGACUGCGAGCGUGACGGCGCGAGCAGGUGCGAAAGCAGGUCAUAGUGAUCCGGUGGUUCUGAAUGGAAGGGCCAUCGCUCAACGGAUAAAAGGUACUCCGGGGAUAACAGGCUGAUACCGCCCAAGAGUUCAUAUCGACGGCGGUGUUUGGCACCUCGAUGUCGGCUCAUCACAUCCUGGGGCUGAAGUAGGUCCCAAGGGUAUGGCUGUUCGCCAUUUAAAGUGGUACGCGAGCUGGGUUUAGAACGUCGUGAGACAGUUCGGUCCCUAUCUGCCGUGGGCGCUGGAGAACUGAGGGGGGCUGCUCCUAGUACGAGAGGACCGGAGUGGACGCAUCACUGGUGUUCGGGUUGUCAUGCCAAUGGCACUGCCCGGUAGCUAAAUGCGGAAGAGAUAAGUGCUGAAAGCAUCUAAGCACGAAACUUGCCCCGA
RNAcentral lists this ribosomal RNA (1280 nucleotides) under Salmonella enterica. RNAcentral describes it as "partial 23S ribosomal RNA". It matches the Rfam family "Bacterial large subunit ribosomal RNA", at positions 1541 to 2802 of the family's 2925-position model. Lineage: Bacteria; Pseudomonadati; Pseudomonadota; Gammaproteobacteria; Enterobacterales; Enterobacteriaceae. The record is from RNAcentral.